GGCUGUAUAGUGUAGUGGUUAUCACAGUGGAUUCUGAUGCUUAAGCAUCUUCCAUUAACCCCUGUUCGAAUCAGGGUACGGUCA
This is a transfer RNA of Exidia glandulosa HHB12029, 84 nucleotides long. It matches the Rfam family "tRNA". Rfam says of the family: Transfer RNA (tRNA) molecules are approximately 80 nucleotides in length. Their secondary structure includes four short double-helical elements and three loops (D, anti-codon, and T loops). Lineage: Eukaryota; Fungi; Basidiomycota; Agaricomycetes; Auriculariales; Exidiaceae. The record is from Rfam.